This 1482-nucleotide ribosomal RNA is filed under the name Bacillus velezensis. RNAcentral's name for it is "bacterial SSU rRNA". It matches the Rfam family "Bacterial small subunit ribosomal RNA". Lineage: Bacteria; Bacillati; Bacillota; Bacilli; Caryophanales; Bacillaceae. The record is from RNAcentral.
CAGAGUUUUUGUCAUGGCUCAGGACGAACGCUGGCGGCGUGCUAAUACAUGCAAGUCGAGCGGACAGAUGGGAGCUUGCUCCCUGAUGUUAGCGGCGGACGGGUGAGUAACACGUGGGUAACCUGCCUGUAAGACUGGGAUAACUCCGGGAAACCGGGGCUAAUACCGGAUGCUUGUUUGAACCGCAUGGUUCAAACAUAAAAGGUGGCUUCGGCUACCACUUACAGAUGGACCCGCGGCGCAUUAGCUAGUUGGUGAGGUAAUGGCUCACCAAGGCGACGAUGCGUAGCCGACCUGAGAGGGUGAUCGGCCACACUGGGACUGAGACACGGCCCAGACUCCUACGGGAGGCAGCAGUAGGGAAUCUUCCGCAAUGGACGAAAGUCUGACGGAGCAACGCCGCGUGAGUGAUGAAGGUUUUCGGAUCGUAAAGCUCUGUUGUUAGGGAAGAACAAGUACCGUUCGAAUAGGGCGGUACCUUGACGGUACCUAACCAGAAAGCCACGGCUAACUACGUGCCAGCAGCCGCGGUAAUACGUAGGUGGCAAGCGUUGUCCGGAAUUAUUGGGCGUAAAGGGCUCGCAGGCGGUUUCUUAAGUCUGAUGUGAAAGCCCCCGGCUCAACCGGGGAGGGUCAUUGGAAACUGGGGAACUUGAGUGCAGAAGAGGAGAGUGGAAUUCCACGUGUAGCGGUGAAAUGCGUAGAGAUGUGGAGGAACACCAGUGGCGAAGGCGACUCUCUGGUCUGUAACUGACGCUGAGGAGCGAAAGCGUGGGGAGCGAACAGGAUUAGAUACCCUGGUAGUCCACGCCGUAAACGAUGAGUGCUAAGUGUUAGGGGGUUUCCGCCCCUUAGUGCUGCAGCUAACGCAUUAAGCACUCCGCUGGGGAGUACGGUCGCAAGACUGAAACUCAAAGGAAUUGACGGGGGCCCGCACAAGCGGUGGAGCAUGUGGUUUAAUUCGAAGCAACGCGAAGAACCUUACCAGGUCUUGACAUCCUCUGACAAUCCUAGAGAUAGGACGUCCCCUUCGGGGGCAGAGUGACAGGUGGUGCAUGGUUGUCGUCAGCUCGUGUCGUGAGAUGUUGGGUUAAGUCCCGCAACGAGCGCAACCCUUGAUCUUAGUUGCCAGCAUUCAGUUGGGCACUCUAAGGUGACUGCCGGUGACAAACCGGAGGAAGGUGGGGAUGACGUCAAAUCAUCAUGCCCCUUAUGACCUGGGCUACACACGUGCUACAAUGGACAGAACAAAGGGCAGCGAAACCGCGAGGUUAAGCCAAUCCCACAAAUCUGUUCUCAGUUCGGAUCGCAGUCUGCAACUCGACUGCGUGAAGCUGGAAUCGCUAGUAAUCGCGGAUCAGCAUGCCGCGGAGAAUACGUUCCCGGCCCGUGUACUCGCCGCCCGUCACCCCACGUCCAGAGUAACACCACGGCGCAGGUGAAGUCGCAACAAGGAAACAGCACAUCGCAGAGUUAACCGUG